GAAAUGCAAAAAGUCGACUCGAAUAAGUGCGCCUUGGUAAAUUCUCAGAUGCACCCGGUUUUCCUGUGUGUUUGUGUACAUCUACAUUCACACUGUAGGAAGGUGACUUGGGGCAACCAGGAGACAAUAUGGUCGCCAUCCAGGACAGCAUUAAUAGCCGUACCAACAACAAGGAUUCUGGCUCUGUCACAACCCAAAAAAGAUUUGUCUGCCCUCAGUCAAGACCUGCUUAGGAAAAAGCACGAGGGGAUUGAAGAAGCAAAGAAGAGGAGCGCGUGUGUUCCUUCCAGUACAGCACAGUACGAACAUGUCGCGCGCCUGGCAACCCCAAAUGUUCGUCACAGGAGCUCCCAGGCAGUGAGUUAAAGGGACACUCCAGCAUUUUGAACCCGAUCUUCUAUCCACUGCAUCUGUAAUGUUUGUGCGAGUGUGAGAUUACUACAGACAAGAAUUUCUACACAUCAUCUUGUAGUGAGAAAAUGACAGACAACAUGUUUACUCCAAACUCACUCAAGUCUAAG
Molecule: long non-coding RNA, 521 nt
Organism: Ictalurus punctatus (channel catfish)
Lineage: Eukaryota; Metazoa; Chordata; Actinopteri; Siluriformes; Ictaluridae
Source: Ensembl